UCCUUGGCCAUUCAGUGGUUAGGACUCAGCACUUUGACUGCUGUGGGCCUGGGUUCAAUCCCCAGUCAGGGAA
RNAcentral lists this transfer RNA (73 nucleotides) under Bos taurus (domestic cattle). It matches the Rfam family "tRNA". From Rfam's summary of the family: Transfer RNA (tRNA) molecules are approximately 80 nucleotides in length. RNAcentral also lists the same sequence under 5 other names. The record is from Rfam by way of RNAcentral. Lineage: Eukaryota; Metazoa; Chordata; Mammalia; Artiodactyla; Bovidae.